Brachypodium distachyon (stiff brome) is the source of this 136-nucleotide non-coding RNA. The record is from Rfam. Lineage: Eukaryota; Viridiplantae; Streptophyta; Magnoliopsida; Poales; Poaceae.
CUUCUACUCCUUCGGUCCGGUAUUAAGUGUCGCGACUUCGUCUAGAUACGCAUGUACCUACAUACUAAAACGCGUCUAGAUACAUGCGUAUCUAGACAAAUUUGCGACACUUAAUACCAGAUGGAGGGAGUAGGAU